GUAGGAUAAGUGGGAGCU
Molecule: small nuclear RNA, 18 nt
Filed under: Arabidopsis thaliana (thale cress)
Lineage: Eukaryota; Viridiplantae; Streptophyta; Magnoliopsida; Brassicales; Brassicaceae
Description: snRNA_04365
Source: RNAcentral